ACGUAGGGGGCAAGCGUUGUCCGGAAUGAUUGGGCGUAAAGGGCGCGUAGGCGGCCUGGUAAGUCUGGAGUGAAAGUCCUGCUUUUAAGGGGGGAUUGGCUUUGGAAACUGUGGGGCUUGAGUGAGGGAGAGGAAAGUGGAAUUCCCGGUGUAGCGGUGAAAUGCGUAGAGAUCGGGAGGAACACCAGUGGCGAAGGCGACUUACUGGACUGUAACUGACGCUGAGGCGCGAAAGUGUGGGGAGCAAACAG
Molecule: ribosomal RNA, 251 nt
Filed under: uncultured prokaryote
Description: partial 16S rRNA
Rfam family: Bacterial small subunit ribosomal RNA
Source: RNAcentral